ACCAGGCCGUUGGUUUUAAAAGUUGUUUUCCAAAACAACUCACAAAUUCCUUGAAAAUCAUCUAUAUAAAUCACUCCCCCUUCUCCUUCUCUAUUCACACAACCAAAGAAAAAACCUUGAGAAGUGUCUAUAAUCACUUUUGUUUUUUCUUAUUUACUCACCCAUUCUUCUAUUCACAUACAAAAAUAAAAUAAAUUCUUGAGAGACAUCUAUACAAAUCUUUCUCCUUCUCCAUUCUUUCUUCACUCAGUCUUCUCUUAAGGAAAAAAAAAAAGUUCUUGAGAGACCUUCUUUUCACAAAAAUGAUUCUUUUAUUUAAGUCACUCUUUUUUAUUUUUUAAGAUGGCACAAAAUAACAAUAUCAACAUAACAGUUCACACAGGUGAAAUGCGUCCCACAGGGCAUUCUAUUUUUUUUGGAGUAGAAAUAUGGUUUUUGAUGCAGCUGUUGAUGAAGCAUAGAAGCAAAACCAGUAGCUAAAAAGGGAGCAAAUAUGGAAUCAAUUGGUGUUUUUGUGAAAAAAAAUUCCGCUAUACUAGUAACUAAUCGUUCUAAUAUUUCUAUUCCUGUCUCUCUUAAUCCUAACCCUACUAAUAGUACGUUAUGUAAUAAUGCAUAACUAUUUAGUAUUUGAUAAAUUAAUGUCUUCUGCGAUAUAGACUUGAGUGUAUUGAAAGGGA
Molecule: non-coding RNA, 680 nt
Organism: Solanum lycopersicum (tomato)
Lineage: Eukaryota; Viridiplantae; Streptophyta; Magnoliopsida; Solanales; Solanaceae
Source: RefSeq, a predicted model, not a curated record